AGCGAACGCUGGCGGCAGGCUUAACACAUGCAAGUCGAACGAACCUUUCGGGGUUAGUUGCGGUCGUGUGAGUAACACGUGGGACCGUGCCUUUAGGUUCCUAAUACCUCACGGUAACUUGUGCUAAUACCGAUUGUGCCCUUCCUGGGAAAGAUUAAUCGCCUUUAGAGCGGUCCGCGUCUGAUUAGCUAGUUGGUUGGGGUAAUGGCUCAUCCCGGCGAAGAUCUGUAGCUGGUAUGGGAGGAUGAUCAGCCACAUUGGGAAUGAGACACGGACCAAACUGGUACGCGAGGCAGCAGUGGGGAGUAUUACGCAAUGAGGGAAAGUGUAGCGCAGCCGUGCGGCGGGAAUGAAGAAGGUCUUAGGAAUGUAAAAUUCUUUCAACGGGGACGAUAAUGACGGUACCCGGUGAAGAAGCCCCGGCUAACUUCGUG
Molecule: ribosomal RNA, 434 nt
Filed under: uncultured bacterium
Lineage: Bacteria
Description: partial 16S ribosomal RNA
Rfam family: Bacterial small subunit ribosomal RNA
Source: RNAcentral